CCUACGGGUGGCAGCAGUAGAGAAUCAUUCACAAUGGGGGAAACCCUGAUGGAGCGACGCCGCGUGGGGGAAUGAAGGUCUCCGGAUUGUAAACCCUGGUCAGGUGGGAGCAAAGUAACAAGAUAGUACCACAAGAGGAAGAGACGGCCAACACUGGGACAGCAGCCGCUGUAAGCCGGAGGUCUCAAGCGUUGAUCGGAAUCACUGGGCGUAAAGCGUGUGAAGGCGGUUUCGUAAGUCGUGUGUGAAAGUCGCGGGCUCAACCCGCGGACGGCUCAUGAGACUGGCAGACUGGAGUGAUGGAGAGGGAAGCGGAAUUCUCGGUGUAGCGGUGAAAUGCGUAGAUAUCGGGAAGAACACCAGUGGCGAAGGCGGCUUCCUGGCCUGUAACUGACGCUGAGGCACGAAAGCGUGGGGAGCGAACAGGAUUAGAUACCCGAGUAGUC
Molecule: ribosomal RNA, 446 nt
Filed under: uncultured bacterium
Lineage: Bacteria
Description: partial 16S ribosomal RNA
Rfam family: Bacterial small subunit ribosomal RNA
Source: RNAcentral